Molecule: long non-coding RNA, 574 nt
Filed under: Gallus gallus (chicken)
Lineage: Eukaryota; Metazoa; Chordata; Aves; Galliformes; Phasianidae
Source: RNAcentral
GGGAUUUCCACAAUGCCCUCAGCAGGGUCUGGGCUCCCUACACUAAUUGCCCUGGCGAGUUUUGAAGAGGAGCCGGAUCCUGUCUGCUGCCUCCUUGUUCCGCGCCAACACCAUCACUCCCGUUGUCUCCUUGUCCAGCCGAUGACACAGGUGCAGUGGUUCAGCUUUCAUGUUCACCAGCAUCUUUGCCAAAAUCGGCAGCACAUCAGCAAUACAGUUCUUGACCCCGGGGCCGCCGUGCACAGGCAGGCCGUAGGGCUUGUUGAGAACCACCACCUCCUCGUCCUGGUACACGGCUCGCUGCCGAAGCGCCUUGGCCAGCACGUUGGGGUGCACCCGCUGCAGCGCGGCCAGCUCCCGGGCCCGCCUCCGCGCCGGCUCCGCGGCCACCUCUUGCUGCUGCUGCUGCUGCUUCUUCUUCUUCUUCUUCUCCUCCUCCUCCUCGCUCCGCUUCGCCCGCAGACGCUCCGCCAGCUCCUGUGCCCGCACCGCCCCCGCCGCCGUCCGCCCCAAAGCCUCUCCCGGCCGCCGCCACAGGCGCCCACUGAGCGCCGCCAUUUUUCCGGCCCGCCUG